Non-coding RNA from Caenorhabditis elegans, 136 nucleotides. NCBI's taxonomy places the organism in Eukaryota, Metazoa, Nematoda, Chromadorea, Rhabditida, Rhabditidae. The record is from Ensembl.
UAGCCAUCUUCAAGAAAGUGAAAAGAACGAUUGGCACGAAAAGAUUUAGUGCCAAUGAGUCAAAGUCAACCUAGACAACAGCCAGAAAAAAGAACGAGGGGUUUCUGGGGUUUUGACGAGAUAAUUACGUGACAGC